Elaeis guineensis (African oil palm) is the source of this 8210-nucleotide non-coding RNA. The record is from RefSeq and is a predicted model, not a curated record. Lineage: Eukaryota; Viridiplantae; Streptophyta; Magnoliopsida; Arecales; Arecaceae.
CCCGCGCAAGUGGUGGAGAAAUUACCGAACCCCACAUUCAUCCUCGGACCAGCCGGACCCAUCCGUCCUGGAAUAAAGACCCGAUAAUUUGAUAUCGAUCUAACCGGUUUAGCUUUCGGAAUUUACAAACCCACGUAAACCAGAAAACCCGGAUCGGACCGGUUCAAACCGGAACAGGUAUUUGAAUCCGGUCUUACUAUGUCGGCAGUCGGCUGACCGAUACACGUCUAUAAAUUGGCAACCCAGGGACGUCAUUACCUCUUUGUUCUGCCGAAAUUAUUUCCGUUGGCCCGCUCCGGGAAGCAUCGCCAUGGAGCGGAGAGCGAUCGGCCAUGUCUCAGUUCUUGAAGCCUGGCUUAGACAUUCCUCGGCGACGAUGAGGGAGGUGGAGCAGGCUCUUCGCCCCACCCAUCCGUCCUCCUCCUCCAGUGCAUGAAGGAUUUUUUACGUUCGGAUGCCGGUGUACGAGUUUCAGAGUUCCAUUCUUUAUCUAGCAGCAGAGGAUCACACGACAACCAUAAUUGUCUGAGGGACGGAAGCCGAAUGACCACCGAGAUACCCAGUGGAGUAGGCACCAACAAUUGGGCUCUUGGAGUUAUAGGUACUUCAAUUUCUCUUCCUAUUUAUCUUCAAGAAUUGCGUUCGUGGAGUUACAGGCACUUCAAUAUAUAUUUCUAUCCGGUGCUUCUGCUAUUUUCUUCAAGAAUUGGGUUCUUGGAGUCACUUGAAAUCCUUCUUGCAAUAGACCAAGGUUAUUUCAAUUUCCUUUUGUUUUCCAUGCUGCUAUUUGAUGCAUCGUAUAUAUGAUGCUAGCUAACUGAUUUUUUUUAAAAAAAAAAAAAUCUGGUUCAUGAUUCUUCCUUGAGAUUCCUUGUGUUGUACUUGCUGACUGAUUUGCAGGGCAUGCUUUAUGCUUGUCAUAGAACGAAUAGGUAGUUAGUGGGAGUGGUUGCAUGAACAAUUAGUUUUGUAACCCUAGAAAGACUUUUUGUAUUAAACGUGGAAGGGAAUCAAUAUGAAAUGUUUAGUUUUUUUAUGCAUUGUGAGUAUUAUACAGGGCGAGAUAGUUGUUCUGGAAGGCCGAUAUUGAUGUAUACCGCAGCUAGAAGAUAGAAGUACUCAUUGCAACUGAAAAUUUUCAUGUCUUCAUUUAUUUUCUAUUUUUUGAUUGAGAUAGUUAAUUUAAUUCUUAUCAGCAUGCCUGGUUGUUUUGUUGGUGUUUACUCUUCACAUGUCUUACCUAAACUGUAUUCUCAAGGGUUUGAAUUGCCUGGAGGUGCCUUUCUAUGGCUAUUUAAAACUUUAAUGAUCCACUUAUUCUUUUCUUUUUUUUUUUUGGCAUUUAGAUGUAACAACAAGUGAUACUAUCACUAACUAUAUUGUAAAUAUAACUGGUUUACUGGAAUUUCCAUUUCUUACUACAAGAGCAAAUAAAGCUUUCAGAUAUAGCUGUGAUGCUUUCAGAUUCAGGAAAUUAUAACUUGAAAGACCAAUCCUGGUGAACUAUACAUGCACUUCUUUUCCCUUGUUAUCUUAAAAAGGCAGGCUGGGCUGAAGUGAGUAAUAGCCUGCACCCAGCCUGGGUGUUUGGCUGUUCAGAUGAUAAUUGGGACUUCACUUAAUCAUUAGUGCCCAAGAGAAUGCCUUGGUUGUUGGGAGUGAUAUAUUGUCAAAAUUCUUCUUUGCUUCAGGUAGCUGAAGAGAUGAGCAUCAAACAUGGAGAAAAGGUUGGGUAUACUAUCCAUUUUGAAGCUCAAAACAAUCCAUGUCAUAAUAGUAGCCACGGCUGAUGAAAGAUCUCAAUGCUGUAGACCCUUUUGUAUCCUUUACAAACAGAUGUGUUGUUACUAAGCCUCUUGAAAAAGGUCCAAUGCUGUAGACCCCACAAUUGAGGUAAAAACCAUGUCAACUUUUUUCCAUAUUAGCUCUUAUUUUGAUCUACUAAGAAUUUAGAUCUCCUCCUCUUCUUCUUUUCCUUCUUCCUCCUCCUCCUCUUCUUUUUCUUCUUUAUGACUGGUUCCUGGAGCUCUGAGAACAGCUGACCUCAAUCCAUAUUUAAUUACCAGCACACUUGCAAAUUAGUCUUUUAGUAAUAUGAUCUGCCAUUCUGCCUAAGACAGAGAAUAGGGGGAAAAACAGAAAAUAAAUUUUGGAUUUUGAGUGAAGUGGAUUACCUAGCUCAAGUGCUCAGGUUUCCCAAAAAGCUUCUUCCAUUUUCCAGAUGGUUAACACAUGGACAUAUAUUGUAGCCUCUACUUUUCUUUGUGCUGGUGUAAAAUGGCAUUGGGAAAAACCUAUAAUUAUAAUUUUUACAACCUCUGUCAUGCCUUUAUAUAAAAUCAUAAAGUCGUCAUUAGGGUAUGCCAAAACAAAAGUAACUGGUGGUUAUGUGGGCAUGUCAUUUGAAUCUGGUUGUGGCACUGAUGAUCACUGUUUGGAGGAGAAAACAUCUUUCUUACGGGCUUGUACUCAUACUAUUCUACCAUAGGGGUAUAUCUGCAAAUAAUGUCUAACCAACCUGUAAUGCAUAGCUUAAUAAUUUUCUACCUUUUGUGCUAUUGUGGAUGAUCUCCCAAACUUGGAUUCUGCACAUGGCAUUGAUGCAUGUUAAUCUUAUACAUUGACAGUAGCCUUAGCAUGUGCUUUUAUUCGUGUUUGCUCAACUUCUCACAUUGCUUUUUAUUCUCAGACAGAGGAAUAUAGGACAGGCUGCUGAUGAUCCCUCAUGUUGUGAGCUGCCUGCCAUACUUUCUGUUGAAGUAGAUUUUUUGAGCUUUAACACUAUAUAUAUAUAUAUAUAUCCAACCUGUUAAAAGUUUUUUUGUCAUUAUUCUAACCACAUGCCAAAAUUCUUAAGUUGAGCUGAUAAAUUUUCCAUUCUACUAGCAUAGGGAAUACACUGUGGAAAUUUAUUGUGUUGAGGAGCCUGUCCUGACUAUUUACAAGUGCUAUUGAUGCCAUGCUAUCAAUUCAUGACAAGGUAAAUUGCAGCUCAUAGAAGGUGAUAGUUGUUCUGCUGCUGUAUUGAUAUAUUUGAUCCCACUUGAUUGUAUCACAAGUUGCAGGAACCUUCUAGUUGGAUGCUAUAUCAGCUUUGCGACCUGCAUCCCAAUUCUUUUGUGCUUCUUGACUUGAAAACUCUUCUACAGUCAUUUCAUUGUUAUAUACUUCCUCUAAUCCAAGGUACAGGACAUUCCUUUGCUCAGGGAUAUUUGGGCUUGGCAGGUAGCUAACUUUUGUAUUAGGAUUACACAUACUUAGAGAGUAGCAAAUAAAGCUGCUGAUCAUAUGGCAAGCCAAGCAUUGCAAGCAGAUGUUUGCUGGUCCUAUUUGUCUGUUCUGGAUUCUAAGUUCAGUCAAAUAUUGCAAGCAGAUGGCUAUGGAAUCACUUUUUUGGUGCUCAUCCCAAUAUUCUACUAGAUUGGUUAUUUAUGGACUACUUAUACGUCAUAGGCGACUACUGUUCAUCAUUUCUUCAGUUGGUUUUCCAUUAAUCCACAAUGCAUCAAUCAGUUUUUAUUCAAUCUGCAGUCUCUCCUGCUUUAUGGUGCCAUAUGGGUAUAUCCAUGGCCUUCAUUGUUAUGUUUCUGCUUAUCCCUUUUGCUUAUGUUAUGGAUCAGCUUUACUGUGCCAUUGCAUAUGUCAGCACUAUGUGGAGCCUCUGUUAUUCUAUGCCAUUAUCAGUUCUGUAGCACUAUUUCUGGUCUUCUUCUCAGCAGUUGCCUGUUAGCUGACAAUGUUCCUGGUUCUGCCAAUGAUUCUACCUUUGAAGGGGUUGCUGCUUUGUCCUAAGCAAGAUCGCCAUACUGCAGUGUUCUGUUUGCAUUUAGCACUUUCUGAUACUUAUGAUAUUCACUGUCUACUGUUCUUCUAUCUCCUGCAUGGGUUCUUAUCUUCUGGAUUAUGUUCUCAUUUCUAUGCAGUUUUGGAUCUUGUUUUGUUUCUGCUAGCAUUCUCUCUUAGCUGUUAUAUGAGCAAAGGCAGUCCUGUAUUCCAAGUGCAAAGGCAGUCCUUAUUCUCAUUGGGCUCAUAUAUUAUUCAACAUUUACUUUCAUCUGUCUGCUGGAGGGCUAUUGUGCUAUGGUAUAUCUGCUCUGCUAUAUGUUCUUUGCUAUGUUAUGUGCUCUUCAAGCAGGUGUCUUGUGCCAUUGUCAUAUUCUAUCUUUCCUGAUCCGAUAUGUUGGGAACAUAUAUGCUCAUUUUGCUCAUCUUCAGCGGUUCAAUACUUGUUAUGCCUUCAAACAUACUUUAAGCUGUUAUAGCUAUUAUGCUACCUGUUUUUCUGCUGUUUUAUCAAGUUAUAUCUCAUGCAUAUGCUCUAUCCUUCAUCAUAUGUGUUUUCCACAUAAGGCCGAUGGUUCUUGUUGCAUGGGUUUCUUCAUAGGACCUAUAAUUAUUUUCCACUGUACUCAGGGUGCACUUCCAGAUACUCUGUGCUUUCCUACACAGGCUCUUUACUUAACAUCAUGCCACCCAAUAUUCAAUGAAAUCGGAACCAGCUGGGGACAUUCUAGUCUUCCUGAGAUGAUAUUGAUGCUGCUGCACGGUUACAGAAGAUACUGAAGACAAUGAUAACCAUUUUCCUGAUCGUAUCAUAUCUAUAACUUAACACCAUCUUUUUACUUUUGGUCUGUGGGAAGAAUUGGAUUAGAAAAGGUGGUAAAGGAAAGCACAUCAAGUAGAAAUUUUACAGAAAAAAUCCAGAAAUCUGGGACGAAACAAUCAGCAUCUUCUUCUUCUUCUUCUUUUAAAUUACCUAUAUAAAUUGGAAUACAGAUUCAUUCUAAAAUAAUCAAAAUCAACUUCUAUUAUCUGUCGCAUUCCUUGUGAGCAAGUUAUUAUUAGCUGCUUUGUGCGUAACAUCUAGUUCAAUGUAUCUCUGUAACUAGCCAAAGAGCAAUGUGCAGUCAAUUGCUUUGUUCUCUUUUGAGACACUUUAUUAUUUCUAAAUUAUGAAUAGAAUAAUCAGCCAUAUUGUUUUCCAUUUGGCAAAAGCACGAAGCCUGCCCUUAGAGAGGCAGCUUCAAACACCUUGAACCACAUAAUCUAUUGAAUCGCUUUAGUGUGCUAUGUUCUACUUAAAUGCUUGAACACUUGAAUGUACCUCCUAUUAUUGCUUGCUUUCACAUUCUUUUUAGAUAAUUAUAUUAAAAAGCCAUGAGCUUUUUGGAGAUAAAUGUACGGUCUUGCUAUUAAAGUUCUUAUAACACUAAUUGGCAUUUAACCCAUUGAAAACAUAGAUCAUUGCGGCAUGAAUACAUUUUAAGAGAGGCUAACUACUUCAUACUGUGGGACUUCCAGAAAGCACUCUAGAAAUGUAGGAGCCUGCUGACUUAUUUCUCGUGCUACUUUUGGCUACUAUUUCUUUGUUGUUGCAGAUCUCACUCAACCUAUUAAACAAGACUGAAGAUUUUGUCUUUAAGCAAGUUUCGGCAUGCUUAUGUUUCUACCUUUUUGGUUAAUAUUGAAACUUUUUUAAAACUUAAAUGGAACAGGCUGAAACUAAAAUACACGUAUUAAUCAAAUAUUCAUGUGAAUUAGAGAAAGACUUAAAUGCAAAAUAUGGAAAAUUAAGAGCAUGUUUGGUGGCCUUUGAUCCUUUUUGAAAGCAUAUAUCAGCAUGAACAAUAGUUCUUUACACUUUACAUGUCAUUUAUGUAAGCAUGCAUGCAGAGUAAGCAUUGCAAUAAAUGUUUUAUAAGGUGUUAACCAUUCAAGUAACCAUUUUGCAAGUUAUCUUUAUGCUCAAUUGUUUAAAAUGUGUGAAAAGUAUCAAUGUAUUAAGUAUAUUAGACUUUUGAACUCUUUGGGAUUUUUUCACCCUCCUGAUUUUCAUGAUCAUGAUUUAUCCUUUUCUGUAAUUUAAAAUUUCUAAAGCAGAAAGGGGGAGAGAUCGUGAACUUGGAAAUUUUUUUUUGAAAUAGAAACUUUGGAUUUCCUGGUUUCAGGGAUCUUAUGAAUUUCAGAGGGAGAGCCUUGGCACAUGGGUAAGAUUGCUCUACUGUGGUCUGAAUGUCAUGGGAUCAAAACAUAGAAACAACGGUCUGCAUGCAAGAAUAAGGCUGCAUACAUCUGACCCUUCCCAGACCUUGCAAUUGACGGUGCCUCCUACGCUAAGAUGUCCUUUUAUUAGAGAUUUUAUAAAUUUCACUACUAACUAAAUGCCUGCCCAGAUUUAUGUACUUGUAACAUGUAUUUAGACAACACUUUUAAUAACAGAAUAUGAUGAUUCUGUAAUGCAUCAAAACAAACCCUUAAUGGUGACAUCCUAGUCGACCAUGGUGGUGACUUGGAUCCAAGGAUAUGCAUGGGGAGACACCACUCACCUCUUGUUGCAGGACAUCUUGAGACUGCUGAUGGGAUAGUUAUCAAGCAUGUCUUCCGAGAGGCGAAUACCGCGGUUGAUUGGGUGGCCACUUUUGUUGCAGAGCAUGUUGGAGACUUUCUUGGAUGGAUGCGGAGGCAGCCCUAUGGCCUCUCAGGCUUAUUUUGUUUUCUAAUCUUUUUGGAUGUGUUCACACUAGACUUAUAUGAACAUUCCAUUUUUAGCCAAAAAGAAAAAAAAUGGUGAUGUCCUAAAGAUGCUAUACUAUAGCAUUUCAUAUAACCCUUAUUACAAUAGCUCCAUUCUCUACUAUAAUCUCCUUAAAAAUUGACACUGUGCAAUGGAAGUUACCACCAGCAUUGACUUGCCUGGUGGGCAUGCAAUGUGGAAAGGGAUGAAUCUACUAAUUCCCUCUAAUAGGGAUUGUGGCAUUGAGGUUACUUUUUGUUUGUUUUAUAUCCUCAAAAGUUGAGACCUCUAGAAUGGUAGCUGUUCUCAAAUUUGUGCUUUUUACUUGAAGUCUCUGAGUAAAUUUCUUUCUGGAUGCUUCUAACUUACUGGUUCUGUUAGGUUUCUUGAGAUUGGUGAUUUGUCAAUGCACAAGAUAUCUUUCUAUAUCUUCAUGAGAAAGGAUGAAGAGAAAUAAAGAAAAUAAGAGAGAGCAGGAAGACUGAAGUAAAGAAUGUUGAUUCAAAGUACCUGGCUGAUCCAUGCUUUACUGAAUUUGUUUUUUUUUGAGAAUGAAUGUUUUGUAGCCAUGCGCUGCCCAACUUAUGGGGGUUGGUUUUGUAUUUUUUGAAGAAAUCCUGGCCCAUUUUUUGAUUUGAAAACCCUAGCGAAUUUUAUCUAUAACAGUUGAUACUGAUAAUAUAUGUCAAAUCUAUGUAAUCCGGUAGGCAAACAACCAAAUUCUUUCUGGACCAUAUAAGACCAGCCUUAUUUUUUGAUAUAUGUCAUAUUUCUGCAUGUUUAUCACACUUUGUCUAAGCUGUAGAUACUUAUUCUUAGUUUAUUAGUCAUGCUAAUCUUUUAAUGCUAUGAACUAACUUUUAGGAUUCAUUUUUUUAUAAGAUCUGCUAGUGUCAGUAGAUCACCAUGUUGAAAACUGAACAAAGCCACUGAUCAAUUAAUAUUUUAUUUCCAUGUUGUCAGUUUUGCUACUAUGAAUGGGGAGGCUUUCACAUGCAGAUCAGGCUAGUAAUGACUAAUUAUUAUGAUGAAACUGACCAACAUUUAUGGGACUUUUGAAAGGAUCAUCUAUAUUUGCAUUAAUAUAUCUUUGUUUAAGGACCUAAAUGUUUCCUCCCACUCCCAAGGAAAAGAAAAGAAGGAAGCAGCGUAUGUCGUGGAUGGUGGGUUGAAAGCAGUGUUUUCAUAAUCUGGAACAAAUGGUGAUUGAGGUGAGGAUACACAAAGCAGAUGGGUUAAGGCUGGUGUACUGCAUUCUUUCUAUGCUAAAACGGUCAGGUGACAGGUUGCAAACAAACAAAUAGACUCAGUAGCAUCAGAAGAGGCAUCAAGGACUUCAGGAAGCAUUCUUUAAGACAUGUUUCAUAAUAGGAAUAUUAGAAGCAACAUUCAUCAACUGAGCUAAAAUAUGUGGGUCUGGACUUGAUGGCACUUGAUACGGUGAUAUUUCUGCAUCACGUUCUCUAAUAGCUUGAUAAUGCAGCUUUGAGUUUUGAUUCUUUUGGUGCUAUUUUGCACCACAAUUAAGCAGGUAGUGUUGCUUUGAGUCCCUGUCAGUAUUUUCUAUUUUCAAGAGGUUGGAAAAGAAGUCAAAAAAACCACCAGAUUUUCUGCCGUGAAAGAUGUUAUUUAAUUUCUUUUUCAAACUAUGUGUGCUUAAAGCUUUGGAUUUCCUUACCUCUUGCUUUAGUAACCA